Molecule: long non-coding RNA, 387 nt
Filed under: Homo sapiens (human)
Lineage: Eukaryota; Metazoa; Chordata; Mammalia; Primates; Hominidae
Description: non-protein coding lnc-ZUFSP-1:1
Source: RNAcentral
CUGCCCCUCGUUCUAUCGCAGCCAAUCCGACCUAGACUCGACCAGUCUUGCUUGGAAACCGAGAACUCCAGAUCCUGCGCCUUGAGCACAAACAACCCACUGCUAUCUUUCUCCUCACUUGGUUCAGUAUUCCUGGAAUAUUUAGCUGCAUGACAGGAUGAAGAUCCACAACUAAAUACCAUUUAGCAUUGAUGGUUCAGUACCGUGGACAGCAGCACUCAUGUUGGGAAUGGGCCUUACUGAAAUCGCAGAGUGACUUUGUAAGUUUGGUAUAUCACAGAAUAAAUUUGUUGGCGUGGCUACAAAUGGAUAAGGUGCUGGCCAGAAUAUUAAAAUUCAUGGCCGAAUUAAUUUUUUUUUCUUCCCUUCAUGGAGGGGAGGAAAAAA